GACGAACGCUGGCGGCGUGCUUAACACAUGCAAGUCGAACGGAAAGGCCCUGCUUUUGUGGGGUGCUCGAGUGGCGAACGGGUGAGUAACACGUGAGUAACCUGCCCUUGACUUUGGGAUAACUUCAGGAAACUGGGGCUAAUACCGGAUAGGAGCUCCUGCUGCAUGGUGGGGGUUGGAAAGUUUCGGCGGUUGGGGAUGGACUCGCGGCUUAUCAGCUUGUUGGUGGGGUAGUGGCUUACCAAGGCUUUGACGGAUAGCCGGCCUGAGAGGGUGACCGGCCACAUUGGGACUGAGAUACGGCCCAGACUCCAACGGGAGGCAGCAGUCGGGAGUAUUGCACAGUGGGCGGAAGCCUGAUGCAGCAACGCCGCGUGCGGGAUGACGGCCUUCGGGUUGUAAACCGCUUUCGCCUGUGACGAAGCGUGAGUGACGGUAAUGGGUAAAGAAGCACCGGCUAACUACGUG
This 468-nucleotide ribosomal RNA is filed under the name uncultured bacterium. RNAcentral describes it as "partial 16S ribosomal RNA". It matches the Rfam family "Bacterial small subunit ribosomal RNA", at positions 28 to 507 of the family's 1533-position model. The record is from RNAcentral.